RNAcentral lists this unclassified non-coding RNA (867 nucleotides) under Centaurea kunkelii. Its description in RNAcentral is "partial external transcribed spacer". The record is from RNAcentral. Lineage: Eukaryota; Viridiplantae; Streptophyta; Magnoliopsida; Asterales; Asteraceae.
UGCGCAUCACCUCUUGCUUGUCUAGAUCAGCCCGGACGUUGGCAUGUGUAGCGUAUUUUGUCGGGUUUCGAGAUCAAGAAUCGAUGUCCCUUUGUUGGUUGGUUUUCCGAGAAUCCUUGACCCUUGAUUAAGUUGGCCACCCUGGCAUCUUUGUCGGGUUCCGAGAUCAAGAAUCGAUGUCCCUUUGUUGGUUGGUUUUCCGAGAAUCCUUGUCCCUUGAUUACGUUGGCCACCCGGGAAAAUGCGCCUCACUUGCUAGCACGUCUAGAUCAGCCAGGGCGUAGGCAUGUGUAUCGUAUUUUGUCGGGUUUCGAGAUCAAGAAUCGAUGUCCCUUUGUUGGUUGGUUUUCCGAGAAUCCUUGACCCUUGAUUUGUUACUUUCGCAUCGUUCGGUGCAUUCUGGGGGAUGUUUUGGCUUUUGGUGGCUUACUUGGCCUUUUGGCUGGGUUUGUUACUAUUGGUCGGGCGGCUUUCGGGAAUGUCGACCGUGGAGGUGCAUGAGUGGUGUUUGGUUUGUUACGUGUGGAUGGCUGUUUGCUUGCGCAACAACGUUCACGCUGCAUACCUCUUCAGUUUUGCGGCAAGGCUUGGUUUGGCUUGUGCAUAUUGUGGGUUUCCUGUGUUGCAUACCUAGUUGAAGGAAAAGUGUGGGUUUUACGAUUUUCGUCUUCGUCUUGCGUCGUUCUUUCGGCAUGGGAUGAGCAUUGAAGCGAUCUUUAUGAUCCAUCGUGCUGUUGUGUUUGCAACAAUGAUGUGGCCUAUGAAGCAUCGUUUGGUCUCUUGUAUACGGAAGCUCAUUUGGGCUUGGGUCUUUAUAAGAUCUUUGUUAUGCCCUUGUUAAGCGUUCUUGCUUCUCCUAAAUGAUUG